UUCCGGUUGAUCCUGCCAGAGGUUACUGCUAUCGGGGUCUGACUAAGCCAUGCGAGUUGAGAGGGGUUAAGCCCUCAGCGUAAUGCUCAGUAACACGCGGAUAACCUGCCCUUGGAUCCGGGAUAACCCCGGGAAACUGGGACUAAUACCGGAUAGAUCACGGAUACUGGAAUGUUCCUUGAUCCAAAGCUCCGGCGUCCAAGGAUGGAUCUGCGACCUAUCAGGUAGUAGUGGGUGUAACGUACCUACUAGCCUACAACGGGUACGGGUUGUGAGAGCAAGAGCCCGGAGAUGGAUUCUGAGACAUGAAUCCAGGCCCUACGGGGUGCAGCAGGCGCGAAAACUUCACAAUGCAGGAAACUGCGAUAAGGGGACCCCGAGUGCCAGCAUCUAAUGCUGGCUGUCCAGCUGUGUAAAUAGCAGUUGUUAGCAAGGGCCGGGCAAGACCGGUGCCAGCCGCCGCGGUAACACCGGCGACCCGAGUGGUAACCGAUUUUAUUGGGUUUAAAGGGUCCGUAGCCGGUCUGUUAAGUCUCUUGGGAAAUCUGGCGGCUCAAUCGUCAGACGGUCAAGAGAUACUGACAGGCUUGGGACCGGUAGAGGUGGGAGGUACUCCAGGGGUAGAGGUGAAAUUUUGUAAUCCUUGGGGGACCAUCGAUGGCGAAGGCAUCCCACUAGAACGGGUCCGACGGUGAGGGACGAAAGCUGGGGGCACGAACCGGAUUAGAUACCCGGGUAGUCCCAGCCGUAAACGAUGCUCGCUAGGUGUCAGAUGCGGUGCGACCGCAUUUGGUGCCGCAGUGAAAACCUGAAGCGAGCCACCUGGGAAGUACGGUCGCAAGGCUGAAACUUAAAGGAAUUGGCGGGGGAGCACUACAACGGGUGGAGCCUGCGGUUCAAUUGGAUUCAACGCCGGG
This 917-nucleotide ribosomal RNA is filed under the name uncultured archaeon. RNAcentral's name for it is "bacterial SSU rRNA". It matches the Rfam family "Archaeal small subunit ribosomal RNA", at positions 1 to 922 of the family's 1478-position model. The record is from RNAcentral.